Molecule: unclassified non-coding RNA, 312 nt
Filed under: uncultured fungus
Lineage: Eukaryota; Fungi
Description: partial contains small subunit ribosomal RNA, internal transcribed spacer 1, and 5.8S ribosomal RNA
Rfam family: Eukaryotic small subunit ribosomal RNA (bases 1-73)
Source: RNAcentral
CCAAACUUGGUCAUUUAGAGGAAGUAAAAGUCGUAACAAGGUUUCCGUAGGUGAACCUGCGGAAGGAUCAUUACCGAGUUCGGGUCUCCUAUGGCCCAUCUCUCCAACCCUUUGUCUACCUGACCUCUGUUGCUUCGGCGGACCCGUCUCCCACGAGACCGCCGGAGGGUGGAAGCCCUCUGGCCCGCGUCCGUCGAUGGCCCUUAUUAAAACUCUUAAACAAAAUGUGUUAAGUCUGAACAAACAUUUAAUUAAAAAUUAAAAACUUUCAACAACGGAUCUCUUGGUUCUGGCAUCGAUGAAGAACGCAGC